This 437-nucleotide ribosomal RNA is filed under the name uncultured bacterium. Its description in RNAcentral is "partial 16S ribosomal RNA". It matches the Rfam family "Bacterial small subunit ribosomal RNA", at positions 29 to 507 of the family's 1533-position model. The record is from RNAcentral.
AGCGAACGCUGGCGGCAGGCUUAACACAUGCAAGUCGAGCGGGCAUCCUUGUGGUGUCAGCGGCAGACGGGUGAGUAACGCGUGGGAACGUGCCCUUCGGUUCGGAAUAACUCAGGGAAACUUGAGCUAAUACCGGAUACGUGCGAGAGCAGAAAGGUUUAUCUGCCGAAGGAUCGGCCCGCGUCUGAUUAGCUAGUUGGUGAGGUUACGGCUCACCAAGGCGACGAUCAGUAGCUGGUCUGAGAGGAUGAUCAGCCACACUGGGACUGAGACACGGCCCAGACUCCUACGGGAGGCAGCAGUGGGGAAUAUUGGACGAUGGAGGCAAACCUGAUCCAGCCAUGCCGCGUGAGUGAUGACGGCCUUAGGGUUGUAAAGCUCUUUUCUCCGGGACGAUAAUGACGGUACCGGAGGAAUAAGCCCCGGCUAACUUCGUG